This 425-nucleotide ribosomal RNA is filed under the name uncultured bacterium. RNAcentral describes it as "bacterial SSU rRNA". It matches the Rfam family "Bacterial small subunit ribosomal RNA", at positions 954 to 1378 of the family's 1533-position model. The record is from RNAcentral.
GCAGAACGCGAAGAACCUUACCAAGGCUUGACAUGGAUUUCUAAGCACGUGAAAGCGUGUGACCCUUCGGGGGACUUCCACAGGUGCUGCAUGGCCGUCGUCAGCUCGUGUCGUGAGAUGUUGGGUUAAGUCCCGCAACGAGCGCAACCCUUGUGAACAGUUGCCAGCGCGUCAUGGCGGGAACUCUGUUCAGACUGCCCAGAUCAACUGGGAGGAAGGUGGGGACGACGUCAGGUCAGUAUGGCCCUUACGCCUUGGGCUGCACACGUACUACAAUGCCCAGCACAAUGAGAACCGAUGCCGCGAGGUGGGAAAANUGCAAAAACUGGGGCNGUUCGGGAUUGGGAGGGCUGCAACUCGCCUCCAUGAAGUUGGAAUCGCUAGUAAUGGCACAUCAGCUACGGUGCCGUGAAUACGUUCCCGGG